Molecule: ribosomal RNA, 482 nt
Filed under: uncultured bacterium
Lineage: Bacteria
Description: partial 16S ribosomal RNA
Rfam family: Bacterial small subunit ribosomal RNA
Source: RNAcentral
AGUGAACGUUGGCGGCGUGGAUUAGGCAUGCAAGUCGAGCGAGAACCGUAGCAAUACGGGGACAGCGGCGAAAGGGACAGUAAUGUGUAGGUACCUACCUCCGGGUUCGGGAUAGCUGCGGGAAACUGCAGGUAAUACCGAAUAACGUCUCCGGACCAAAGGUGUGAUUCCACCUGGAGAGGGGCCUGCAUCCUAUUAGCGUGUUGGUGGGGUAACGGCUUACCAAGGCGACGAUGGGUAGCGGGUGUGAGAGCAUGACCCGCGCCAUUGGGACUGAGACACUGCCCAGACACCUACGGGUGGCUGCAGUCGAGGAUCUUCGGCAAUGGGCGCAAGCCUGACCGAGCGACGCCGCGUGCGGGAUGAAGGCCUUCGGGUUGUAAACCGCUGUCGUAGAGGAGGAAAUGCAGGAGGGUUCUCCCUUCUGUUUGACCUAUUCUAGGAGGAAGUACGGGCUAAGUUCGUGCCAGCCGCCGCUGUAA